AGAGUUUGAUCAUGGCUCAGGACAAACGCUGGCGGCGUGCCUAACACAUGCAAGUCAAACGAGAAACACGGAGCUUGCUCCGUGCAGUAAAGUGGCGAAUGGGUGAGUAACACGUAGGUAAUCUACCUCAGGGAUGGGGAUAACUUCUCGAAAGGGGAGCUAAUACACAAUAAUGCAGCGGGCUCUUCGGAGCAUGUUGUUAAAGCUGGGGAUCCUUCGGGACCUAGCACCUUGAGAUGAGCCUGCGCCUGAUUAGUUUGUUGGUAAGGUAAUGGCUUACCAAGACUACGAUCAGUAGCUGGUCUGAGAGGAUGUCCAGCCACACUGGGAUUGAGAUACGGCCCAGACUCCUAAGGGAGGCAGCAGUGAGGAAUUUUGCGCAAUGAUCGAAAGAUUGACGCAGCAACGCCGCGUGACCGAUGAUGACUCCGAGGAGUGUAAAGGUCUGUUGGGAGGGAAGAAAACCCCCUACGAAUAGUAAAGGGUAUUGACGGUACCUUCCAUAGAAAGCUCCGGCUAACUUCGUGCCAGCAGCCGCGGUAAUACGAGGGGAGCAAGCGUUGUCCGGAUUUAUUGGGCGUAAAGGGCGUGUAGGCGGAUUGACAAGUCAGGUUUUAAAUAAUACGGCUCAACUGUAUCAAUGGGUCUGAUACUGUCAGUCUUGAAUUCGAGAGAGGGAAGCGGAAUUCCUGGUGUAGCGGUGAAAUGCCAUGAUAUCAGGAGGAACACCGGUGGCGAAGGCGGCUUCCUGGCUCGACAUUGACGCUGAGGCGCGAAAGCGUGGGUAGCGAACAGGAUUAGAUACCCUGGUAGU
This 814-nucleotide ribosomal RNA is filed under the name uncultured deep-sea bacterium. RNAcentral describes it as "bacterial SSU rRNA". It matches the Rfam family "Bacterial small subunit ribosomal RNA", at positions 8 to 794 of the family's 1533-position model. The record is from RNAcentral.